AUGAACGCUAGCGGCAGGCCUAACACAUGCAAGUCGAGGGGUAGAACACUUCGGUGUUUGAGACCGGCGCACGGGUGCGUAACGCGUAUGCUAUCUACCUUGUACAGGGGAAUAGCCCAGAGAAAUUUGGAUUAAUGCCCCAUAGUAUAUAACCUUCGCAUAUUGGUUAUAUUAAAGUUCCAACGGUACAAGAUGAGCAUGCGUCCCAUAAGUUAGUUGGUAAGGUAACGGCUUACCAAGACGAUGAUGGGUAGGGGUCCUGAGAGGGAGAUCCCCCACACUGGUACUGAGACACGGACCAGACUCCUACGGGAGGCAGCAGUGAGGAAUAUUGGUCAAUGGGCGCAAGCCUGAACCAGCCAUGCCGCGUGCAGGAAGACGGUCCUAUGGAUUGUAAACUGCUUUUAUACAGGAAGAAACCCUCCCACGUGUGGGAGAUUGACGGUACUGUAGGAAUAAGGAUCGGCUAACUCCGU
RNAcentral lists this ribosomal RNA (476 nucleotides) under uncultured bacterium. Its description in RNAcentral is "bacterial SSU rRNA". It matches the Rfam family "Bacterial small subunit ribosomal RNA", at positions 29 to 506 of the family's 1533-position model. The record is from RNAcentral.